UGGGGAAUAUUGGACAAUGGGUGAAAGCCUGAUCCAGCCAUGCCGCGUGUGUGAAGAAGGCCUUUUGGUUGUAAAGCACUUUAAGCGAGGAGGAGGCUACUUAGAUUAAUACUCUAGGAUAGUGGACGUUACUCGCAGAAUAAGCACCGGCUAACUCUGUGCCAGCAGCCGCGGUAAUACAGAGGGUGCGAGCGUUAAUCGGAUUUACUGGGCGUAAAGCGUGCGUAGGCGGCUUUUUAAGUCGGAUGUGAAAUCCCUGAGCUUAACUUAGGAAUUGCAUUCGAUACUGGGAAGCUAGAGUAUGGGAGAGGAUGGUAGAAUUCCAGGUGUAGCGGUGAAAUGCGUAGAGAUCUGGAGGAAUACCGAUGGCGAAGGCAGCCAUCUGGCCUAAUACUGACGCUGAGGUACGAAAGCAUGGGGAGCAAACAGGAUUAGAUACCCCUGUAGUCCCUGAGCGGGCUGGCAAGGCGCAU
Molecule: ribosomal RNA, 473 nt
Filed under: uncultured bacterium
Lineage: Bacteria
Description: bacterial SSU rRNA
Rfam family: Bacterial small subunit ribosomal RNA
Source: RNAcentral